Long non-coding RNA from Acinonyx jubatus (cheetah), 1603 nucleotides. RefSeq lists it as uncharacterized. NCBI's taxonomy places the organism in Eukaryota, Metazoa, Chordata, Mammalia, Carnivora, Felidae. The record is from RefSeq and is a predicted model, not a curated record. The transcript is spliced from 2 exons.
GCAGAGAGAGAGAGAAUCCCAAGCAAGCUCCAUGCUGUCAGCACAGAUGCAGGGCUCGAUCCUACAAACCACGAGAACAUGACCUGAGCUGAAAUCAAGAGUCAGACGCUCAAGCAACUGAGCCACCCAGGUGCCCCUUAUUUGGGCUCUUUUAGAUUAGUCCCCAGUGUUUGGAGAAUUUAAGAGCUUUAUAUUUUUUACAGCGUGUUUUGCUGAAAAUAACUCUUGAUUUAAAUGUGGCUCUUUAUGAAAUGAAGUCAAGGAAUUCAGCAAUUUCUCUGGCCCAAGGUCCAAGUGAGCAUGGACUGUGUCCCUGGCCCUGUGGUAGGAUUUGCAAUGAGGUUUCUGUAGAAGCAGAGGCAGGAAAAGAUUAGAAGAAAAGUACAAAGUUUGGAUAAAAGGAUUAAAAGUGAGCCGUCAGUGCAAUAAAACCAGAGAAGGAGCACCUUUCUGGAGACAGCAGUUUUUAUGAUCUGAGCUAAGUAGAAAUGGUGUGCUCACAAGCCUUCCAGAUCCCUGAAGGCAUUCUGAUUGGGUCAGGCGUCCGAGAAGGGAGCCAGGUGGGGACAGCGCCAUGGUCUGAAUGUGUGUCUCCCCCACCUCCGCCCCCACCAAAUUCAUACGUUGAAGCCUAAUGCUCAGUGUUGACGGUACCUGGAAGUAGGGCUUUCGGGGGGUGAUUAUGUCAUGAGGGACAGCCCCUUAGCUUGGGGUUACUGCCUGGUACAAGACUCCCCAGAGAGCUAGCUCCUCUGUUCUGCCAUGUAGGUAACGGCGAGAAGAUGACCACCUAUGAGAAAGUAGACCCUCACCAGACACCGUAUCUGCCAGCACCUUGAUCUUGGAUUCCCAGCCUCCAGAACGCAUCACAGUAAGACUUGAAUUUAAGCUUCUCCCAGACACAGAAGAAAGACGAUUCCAAACCGUUUUGGCCACAGGGAGGUUACACAGCAUCUCAGCCACAUGCCGCUUCCUCCAGCCCCCUGUUUUUGGUUCUUCCUCUGCACAUGCCCACUCCGCUCCACGCAUCUUGCCAGUUGCUGGGGAAGCAACGGUGAAAAAAUCACUCAGUUGAGCUGCCGCAGCGUGACAAGCGGGCUUUGACAUCGACAACUUGUCUUUCUAGCCCUGCAUGAUAGGCAGGGCUAUCUUGCUGAAGAUUUUUUCAAGUGACAGUUUACGAUCCAAAUUAAAGUGAAAUCCAAGUAUGAACAGGGAGUACCAAUGUCAGCCAAGGACAAAUGGCUCAAUGGAUGCUAUUCAUGAAUGGCACAACCUGCCUGGCAGCUGGCAAGGUUCUUUAAUGAGAAGAAGAAGACAAAUCUCCAUUUCAGGAAGUCUAAAAUGGUUUGUGUGUUGGCCGUGGGGCAUCUGUGUGUUACAUGAUCUCACUCCAUUCUGGAAGAUGAGGUAUGGAUUCCAGACAGCCCACUCUAUUCUAAGACACUUGAGGGCAGGGACUGUCUUUUAUUUGUAUCUCCAUCCCCAGGGCCCACCUAGUACAGCUCCAAACAGCACAUGUUCCACAAAUGUUGUGAUGAAAGGAAGUACUCAGGAAAGAUUAACCAGUGAGAUACAUCGUUAAGAAAACAAAAAACAAAAA